GCCGGGCCGCACAAGCGGUGGAGUAUGUGGUUAAUUCGAUGCAACGCGAAGAACCUUACCUGGUCUUGACAUCCCGGAGACCCUUAGGAACUAGGGGUGCUUCCAUCUGGAAGAAUCUGGAGACAGGUGCUGCAUGGCUGUCGUCAGCUCGUGUCGUGAGAUGUUGGGUUAAGUCCCGCAACGAGCGCAACCCUUGCCUUUAGUUGCCAGCAGUUCGGCUGGGCACUCUAAAGGGACUGCCGGUGUUAAACCGGAGGAAGGUGGGGAUGACGUCAAGUCCUCAUGGCCUUUAUGACCAGGGCUACACACGUACUACAAUGGCCGAUACAAAGGGCAGCGACACUGCGAGGUGAAGCCAAUCCCGUAAAAUCGGUCUCAGUCCGGAUUGGAGUCUGCAACUCGACUCCAUGAAGUUGGAAUCGCUAGUAAUCGUGGAUCAGCAUGCCACGGUGAAUACGUUCCCGGGCCUU
RNAcentral lists this ribosomal RNA (470 nucleotides) under uncultured Desulfobulbus sp. RNAcentral's name for it is "bacterial SSU rRNA". It matches the Rfam family "Bacterial small subunit ribosomal RNA", at positions 918 to 1380 of the family's 1533-position model. Lineage: Bacteria; Pseudomonadati; Thermodesulfobacteriota; Desulfobulbia; Desulfobulbales; Desulfobulbaceae. The record is from RNAcentral.